RNAcentral lists this non-coding RNA (21 nucleotides) under Arabidopsis thaliana (thale cress). Lineage: Eukaryota; Viridiplantae; Streptophyta; Magnoliopsida; Brassicales; Brassicaceae. The record is from RNAcentral.
AUAGUGAUAUACUGUUGAAAA